RNAcentral lists this long non-coding RNA (994 nucleotides) under Bos grunniens (domestic yak). RNAcentral's name for it is "lncRNA (ENSBGRG00000026253.1)". The record is from RNAcentral. Lineage: Eukaryota; Metazoa; Chordata; Mammalia; Artiodactyla; Bovidae.
UAUUUUGAUGGUUUGUAGCCUGAGCAGGAGAAAACAGAGUUUGGCACUAUGGCCUGGGACGGACGGUAACCUUCACAUCCUCUUCCCUCCCCAAGAGGACUAAAGAUGGAUCAGGCACCCCAGAGUGAUGGAACCCAGGUGUGAGUGGGUGCUCUUUAUGCCCAGGGUGUCACAGGAAGUAUGGAGGGCCAGGCUGCCCCACCCCCAGGUCUGGCUGGCCUGUCCCAGUAGGACCCAGACUAUGGAGGCCCCACACAGAGGCUCCUGCCAUGCAGCGCUGUAGUUCUGGAUGCCAGCCACCCUCUUCUCUCUCCUCCCCACUCAGGGAGGGCAGAGAGCGUGCACAAUACAGGGCUGCUGGGACGGGCCGGUUGCCAUCGGCAAGAGGUCUGGUCCUCUGGCCAGGGCGGUGAUAGUGUCAUCCUUGUGGGAGUGAUAUGUUUGAGAGAGGGUGGGUGGUAGCCAAAUGGGAAGGACGACGCUAGCGCCCCGUUUUGUGUUCCAGCGGGCAAAGAGCUCCCUGGCUAUCCCAGGUCAGUGGGGCAGGAGGCCGAGCGUGGAGCGCGGCCGGGGCGCGGGCUGGAUCGGGUUUCCGGAAGGACUUGCUAGGGCCGGCGCGGGUGGGUGUUGCCUGGCCCCGCUCCCCGCUCCACCUCCGGCCUGGCUUCCGCCCGCCGGUCGCGGUCCCCGGGCGAGGGAGGCCGCUAGACUCGGCCUGGAGCGCCCCCUGACGGCUAAUCGGAGUGGGCGCGCCUGCUCGUGGGAGAGCCAGAGGGAGAGCAAGCAGCUAGCACCGGCCAAGCGCGCCGGACGCCCCGGGAUCUGCGCGCAGGUGGACCCCUUCCCGCCGCUGGCGCGCUGCGCCAGUACACGACGGCGGCCCAGAGCCCGGACGCCAAGGCGGCGGCAGCGCAGAGCAAAGGAGCCCGUGGCAGUUCCUGCCGAGAUAGCGCCCAGCGACUGGAAACGAACCAGGUGGAUUCUUUACCACUGA